UCAAGGUCAUUUGAGGUCAUUUCAAAGGCAUUCAAGGUCAUUUGGGGUCACUUCAAGGUCACAGGGGUUACUUGAGGUCAGUUUGGAUUUUUUUGAGUCUCUGACCGGCCACUUAAGGUCAUUUCAAGGUCACUUGGGGUCACUUCAAGGUCACUCGGGGUCAUUUCAAGGUCAUUUGGGUCACAGGGGUCACUUGAGGUCACUUUUUUAUUUUUCUGAGUCCCUGACCAGGCCACUAGAGGUCGUUUCAAGGUCAUUUCAAAGUCAUUUGGGGUCACUUCAAGGUCACGGGGGUUACUCGGGGUCAUUUUUGGAUUUUUGAGUUUUUCAAGUCCCUGGCCGGGGUAACUGUAGGUCACUUCAAGGUCACUUGGGGUCACUUCAAGGUCACUCGGGGUCAUUUCAAGGUCAUUUGGGUCACAGGGGUCACUUGAGGUCAUUUUUGAUUUUUCUGAGUCCCUGACCAGGUCACUAGAGGUCAUUUCAAGGUCAUUUGAGGUCGCCAG
This 506-nucleotide long non-coding RNA is filed under the name Ficedula albicollis (Collared flycatcher). RNAcentral's name for it is "lncRNA (ENSFALG00000028814.1)". The record is from RNAcentral. Lineage: Eukaryota; Metazoa; Chordata; Aves; Passeriformes; Muscicapidae.